RNAcentral lists this ribosomal RNA (1276 nucleotides) under uncultured bacterium. RNAcentral's name for it is "bacterial SSU rRNA". It matches the Rfam family "Bacterial small subunit ribosomal RNA", at positions 118 to 1398 of the family's 1533-position model. The record is from RNAcentral.
UAUCCAACUUGCCGUCUACUCUUGGACAGCCUUCUGAAAGGAAGAUUAAUACAAGAUGGCAUCAUGAGUCCGCAUGUUCACAUGAUUAAAGGUAUUCCGGUAGACGAUGGGGAUGCGUUCCAUUAGAUAGUAGGCGGGGUAACGGCCCACCUAGUCUUCGAUGGAUAGGGGUUCUGAGAGGAAGGUCCCCCACAUUGGAACUGAGACACGGUCCAAACUCCUACGGGAGGCAGCAGUGUGGAAUAUUGGUCAAUGGGCGAGAGCCUGAACCAGCCAAGUAGCGUGAAGGAUGACUGCCCUAUGGGUUGUAAACUUCUUUUAUAAAGGAAUAAAGUCGGGUAUGCAUACCCGUUUGCAUGUACUUUAUGAAUAAGGAUCGGCUAACUCCGUGCCAGCAGCCGCGGUAAUACGGAGGAUCCGAGCGUUAUCCGGAUUUAUUGGGUUUAAAGGGAGCGUAGAUGGAUGUUUAAGUCAGUUGUGAAAGUUUGCGGCUCAACCGUAAAAUUGCAGUUGAUACUGGAUAUCUUGAGUGCAGUUGAGGCAGGCGGAAUUCGUGGUGUAGCGGUGAAAUGCUUAGAUAUCACGAAGAACUCCGAUUGCGAAGGCAGCCUGCUAAGCUGCAACUGACAUUGAGGCUCGAAAGUGUGGGUAUCAAACAGGAUUAGAUACCCUGGUAGUCCACACGGUAAACGAUGAAUACUCGCUGUUUGCGAUAUACAGCAAGCGGCCAAGCGAAAGCGUUAAGUAUUCCACCUGGGGAGUACGCCGGCAACGGUGAAACUCAAAGGAAUUGACGGGGGCCCGCACAAGCGGAGGAACAUGUGGUUUAAUUCGAUGAUACGCGAGGAACCUUACCCGGGCUUAAAUUGCAGAUGAAUUACGGUGAAAGCCGUAAGCCGCAAGGCAUCUGUGAAGGUGCUGCAUGGUUGUCGUCAGCUCGUGCCGUGAGGUGUCGGCUUAAGUGCCAUAACGAGCGCAACCCUUGUUGUCAGUUACUAACAGGUUCCGCUGAGGACUCUGACAAGACUGCCAUCGUAAGAUGUGAGGAAGGUGGGGAUGACGUCAAAUCAGCACGGCCCUUACGUCCGGGGCUACACACGUGUUACAAUGGGGGGUACAGAGGGCCGCUACCACGCGAGUGGAUGCCAAUCCCAAAAACCUCUCUCAGUUCGGACUGGAGUCUGCAACCCGACUCCACGAAGCUGGAUUCGCUAGUAAUCGCGCAUCAGCCACGGCGCGGUGAAUACGUUCCCGGGCCUUGCACUCACCGCCCGUA